RNAcentral lists this unclassified non-coding RNA (290 nucleotides) under Serendipitaceae sp. RNAcentral describes it as "partial contains 5.8S ribosomal RNA, internal transcribed spacer 2, and large subunit ribosomal RNA". Lineage: Eukaryota; Fungi; Basidiomycota; Agaricomycetes; Sebacinales; Serendipitaceae. The record is from RNAcentral.
CGCACCUUGCACCCUUUGGUAUUCCGAAGGGUACGCCCGUUUGAGUGUCAUUGUAAUCUCACCUCUACAACUUUGUUGUGUGAAGUGGACUUGGACAAUGUCGUGUAACAACGACUGGUCUUAAAAUUAUGAGUGUACCCUGCUGUUGCAGCGUCUUCAGUGUGAUAAUAUCUUCACUGAUCAAAGUUCCUUUGGGACACGCAAGCAUUGUGGGCCCUGCGCUUCCAAUCGUCUCUGGACAUACUUGACAAUUUGACCUCAAAUCGGGCGGGACUACCCGCUGAACUUAA